This 274-nucleotide ribosomal RNA is filed under the name uncultured bacterium. RNAcentral describes it as "partial 16S ribosomal RNA". It matches the Rfam family "Bacterial small subunit ribosomal RNA", at positions 523 to 796 of the family's 1533-position model. The record is from RNAcentral.
AUACGGAGGGUGCUAGCGUUAUUCGGAUUUACUGGGCGUAAAGGGCGCGUAGGCGGCUUGAUAAGUCAGAUGUGAAAGCCCGGGGCUUAACCCCGGAAGUGCAUUUGAAACUAUUAGGCUUGAGUAUGGGAGAGGGAAGUGGAAUUCCUGGUGUAGCGGUGAAAUGCGUAGAUAUCAGGAGGAACACCGGUGGCGAAGGCGACUUCCUGGACCAAUACUGACGCUGAGGCGCGAAGGCGUGGGGAGCAAACAGGAUUAGAAACCCGAGUAGUCC